RNAcentral lists this ribosomal RNA (434 nucleotides) under uncultured Lachnospiraceae bacterium. RNAcentral's name for it is "partial 16S ribosomal RNA". It matches the Rfam family "Bacterial small subunit ribosomal RNA", at positions 341 to 792 of the family's 1533-position model. The record is from RNAcentral. Lineage: Bacteria; Bacillati; Bacillota; Clostridia; Lachnospirales; Lachnospiraceae.
ACGGGAGGCAGCAGUGGGGAAUAUUGGACAAUGGGGGAAACCCUGAUCCAGCGACGCCGCGUGAGUGAAGAAGUAUUUCGGUAUGUAAAGCUCUAUCAGCAGGGAAGAUAAUGACGGUACCUGACUAAGAAGCCCCGGCUAACUACGUGCCAGCAGCCGCGGUAAUACGUAGGGGGCAAGCGUUAUCCGGAUUUACUGGGUGUAAAGGGAGCGUAGACGGUAUGGCAAGUCUGAUGUGAAAACCCAAGGCUCAACCAUGGGACUGCAUUGGAAACUGUCAAACUAGAGUGCAGGAGGGGUAAGCGGAAUUCCUAGUGUAGCGGUGAAAUGCGUAGAUAUUAGGAGGAACACCGGUGGCGAAGGCGGCUUGCUGGACUGUAACUGACGUUGAGGCUCGAAAGCGUGGGGAGCAAACAGGAUUAGAUACCCUGGUA